RNAcentral lists this long non-coding RNA (733 nucleotides) under Lingula anatina. Its description in RNAcentral is "uncharacterized LOC106163512, transcript variant X1". Lineage: Eukaryota; Metazoa; Brachiopoda; Lingulata; Lingulida; Lingulidae. The record is from RNAcentral.
CCUACUUAGUCGGACGGAGCGGGAAAAUUUCACACGUUAUAAAAUAACGUUAUACUAAGGCUACGAUAUAUUUAUGGGUUACCAUAAAAGUUUGAUCUGUACCAGUAGGACAUUCCACGGUUCCAGCAUCCUUUUAAAUGCAUGCAAACACAUUCUUGAUGACAAAAGGCUCCAGUCUCCAUACAGCAUGGUGUCUUCUAGGUGAACUGACUUUACCUGGCUGAAAAUGGAGGACAUGUAUUGUUAAUAUGAAAUAGACAGGAAAUAGAAGCUGCAGGAAUAUCCCUUCAUCUCACACAGUUGUGCAAGACACAGCAAGUUUCAGGAUGAAUGGGUUGUGAAGAGCCAGAGACAGGACAGCCAUGGUAAACAGGUAACUGGACUUCUUGCAGCUCACACACAUGGUUUGACAGUUGUUGUAAAUUGUGAAGCGUCUCAGUAGUGGCCUGCUUGAUGUGGUCAGAUUGUGUUGAAAUUUAUUGGACCCAAAGUGGAGCAGUGGUCAUUACUUCCCUGGGAUGACCCAUUGUCAUGACAGUAACUGGACUGCUUGCAGCUCCAGUCUCCAUACAGCAUGGUGUCUUCUAGGUGAACUGACUUUACCUGGCUGAACAUGGGGGGAAUGUAUUUUUUAUAAGACUGAAGCAGACAUGAAAAGACAGCAACAGGAACAUCUGCAUCUCACCCAGUUGUGCAAGGCAUGGGAUGUGGCAAGUUUUAGGAUGAAUGAACA